CGUGCGCAGGCGGCUUUGCAAGACAGAGGUGAAAUCCCCGGGCUCAACCUGGGAACUGCCUUUGUGACUGCAAGGCUAGAGUACGGCAGAGGGAGAUGGAAUUCCGCGUGUAGCAGUGAAAUGCGUAGAUAUGCGGAGGAACACCGAUGGCGAAGGCAAUCUCCUGGGCCUGUACUGACGCUCAUGCAACGAAAGCGGUGGGGAGACAAACAGGAUUAGACUACCCCGGU
RNAcentral lists this ribosomal RNA (230 nucleotides) under uncultured bacterium. RNAcentral's name for it is "partial 16S ribosomal RNA". It matches the Rfam family "Bacterial small subunit ribosomal RNA", at positions 567 to 791 of the family's 1533-position model. The record is from RNAcentral.